Molecule: ribosomal RNA, 238 nt
Filed under: uncultured bacterium
Lineage: Bacteria
Description: partial 16S ribosomal RNA
Rfam family: Bacterial small subunit ribosomal RNA
Source: RNAcentral
CGGCGGACGGGUGAGUAACGCGUGGAUAACCUGCCUCACACAGGGGGAUAACAGUUAGAAAUGACUGCUAAUACCGCAUAAGCGCACAGUACCGCAUGGUACAGUGUGAAAAACUCCGGUGGUGUGAGAUGGAUCCGCGUCUGAUUAGGUAGUUGGUGGGGUAACGGCCCACCAAGCCGACGACCAGUAGCCGACCUGAGAGGGUGACCGGCCACAUUGGGACUGAGACACGGCCCAA